UCGAGCGCAGGAAACCAGUUGACCCCUUCGGGGUGAUUCUGGCGGAAUGAGCGGCGGACGGGUGAGUAACACGUGGGCAACCUGCCUGUAAGACUGGGAUAACUUCGGGAAACCGGAGCUAAUACCGGAUAGUAUUUCCUUUCUCCUGAUUGGAAAUGGAAAGACGGUUUCGGCUGUCACUUACAGAUGGGCCCGCGGUGCAUUAGCUAGUUGGCGGGGUAAUGGCCCACCAAGGCGACGAUGCAUAGCCGACCUGAGAGGGUGAUCGGCCACACUGGGACUGAGACACGGCCCAGACUCCUACGGGAGGCAGCAGUAGGGAAUCUUCCGCAAUGGACGAAAGUCUGACGGAGCAACGCCGCGUGAGCGAUGAAGGCCUUCGGGUCGUAAAGCUCUGUUGUUAGGGAAGAACAAGUACGAGAGUAACUGCUCGUACCUUGACGGUACCUAACCAGAAAGCCCCGGCUAACUACGUGCCAGCAGCCGCGGUAAUACGUAGGGGGCAAGCGUUGUCCGGAAUUAUUGGGCGUAAAGGGCUCGUAGGCGGUUUCUUAAGUCUGAUGUGAAAGCCCACAGCUCAACUGUGGAGGGUCAUUGGAAACUGGGGAACUUGAGUGCAGAAGAGGAGAGUGGAAUUCCACGUGUAGCGGUGAAAUGCGUAGAUAUGUGGAGGAACACCAGUGGCGAAGGCGACUCUCUGGUCUGUAACUGACGCUGAGGAGCGAAAGCGUGGGGAGCAAACAGGAUUAGAUACCCUGGUAGUCCACGCCGUAAACGAUGAGUGCUAGGUGUUAGGGGGUUUCCG
Molecule: ribosomal RNA, 805 nt
Filed under: Terribacillus saccharophilus
Lineage: Bacteria; Bacillati; Bacillota; Bacilli; Caryophanales; Bacillaceae
Description: bacterial SSU rRNA
Rfam family: Bacterial small subunit ribosomal RNA
Source: RNAcentral